GAUGAACGCUAGCGGCAGGCCUAAUACAUGCAAGUCGAACGGUAGAUUUGGUAGCAAUACUGAAUUGAGAGUGACGUAAGGGUGCGUAACACGUAUGCAAUCUGCCCUCAACAGGAGUAUAGCUCGGGGAAACUCGGAUUAACCCUCCAUAAGAUCUUAGGGUGGCAUCACCUAGAGAUUAAAAACUUCGGUGGUUGAGGAUGAGCAUGCGCAUGAUUAGUUAGUUGGAGGUGUAACGGACCCCCAAGACGAUGAUCAUUAGGGGAACUGAGAGGUUGAUCCCCCACACUGGCACUGAGAUACGGGCCAGACUCCUACGGGAGGCAGCAGUAGGGAAUAUUGGUCAAUGGGUGAGAGCCUGAACCAGCCAUGCCGCGUGCAGGAAGACGGCCUUCUGGGUUGUAAACUGCUUUUAUCUGGGGAUAAAAAGACCGUGCGCGGUUAAUUGAAGGUACCAGAUGAAUAAGCACCGGCUAACUACGUGCCAG
RNAcentral lists this ribosomal RNA (488 nucleotides) under uncultured bacterium. RNAcentral's name for it is "bacterial SSU rRNA". It matches the Rfam family "Bacterial small subunit ribosomal RNA", at positions 28 to 511 of the family's 1533-position model. The record is from RNAcentral.